This 392-nucleotide ribosomal RNA is filed under the name Toxoplasma gondii ARI. Its description in RNAcentral is "SSU rRNA". It matches the Rfam family "Eukaryotic small subunit ribosomal RNA", at positions 24 to 416 of the family's 1831-position model. Lineage: Eukaryota; Apicomplexa; Conoidasida; Eucoccidiorida; Sarcocystidae. The record is from RNAcentral.
UCAUAUGCUUGUCUUAAAGAUUAAGCCAUGCAUGUCUAAGUAUAAGCUUUUAUACGGCUAAACUGCGAAUGGCUCAUUAAAACAGUUAUAGUUUAUUUGAUGGUCUUUACUACAUGGAUAACCGUGGUAAUUCUAUGGCUAAUACAUGCGCACAUGCCUCUUCCCCUGGAAGGGCAGUGUUUAUUAGAUACAGAACCAACCCACCUUCCGGUGGUCCUCAGGUGAUUCAUAGUAACCGAACGGAUCGCGUUGACUUCGGUCUGCGACGGAUCAUUCAAGUUUCUGACCUAUCAGCUUUCGACGGUACUGUAUUGGACUACCGUGGCAGUGACGGGUAACGGGGAAUUAGGGUUCGAUUCCGGAGAGGGAGCCUGAGAAACGGCUACCACCUC